GACGAACGCUGGCGGCGUGCUUAACACAUGCAAGUCGAACGGAAAGGCCCUGCUUUUGUGGGGUGCUCGAGUGGCGAACGGGUGAGUAACACGUGAGUAACCUGCCCUUGACUUUGGGAUAACUUCAGGAAACUGGGGCUAAUACCGGAUAGGAGCUCCUGCUGCAUGGUGGGGGUUGGAUAGUUUCGGCGGUUGUGGAUGGACUCGCGGCUUAUCAGCUUGUUGUUGGGGUCGUGGCUUACCAAGGCUUUGACGUGUAGCCGGCCUGUGAGGGUGACCGGCCUCAUUGGGACUGCGUUACGGCCCAGACGCCUAUGGGAGGCAGCAGUCGGGAAUAUUGCACAAUGGGCGGAAGCCUGAUGCAGCAACGCCGCGUGCGGGAUGACGGCCUUCGGGUUGUAAACCGCUUUCGCCUGUGACGAAGCGUGAGUGGCGGUAAUGGGUAAAGAAGCACCGGCUAACUACGUG
Molecule: ribosomal RNA, 468 nt
Filed under: uncultured bacterium
Lineage: Bacteria
Description: partial 16S ribosomal RNA
Rfam family: Bacterial small subunit ribosomal RNA
Source: RNAcentral